UGUUUGUCUAAAAUCAAAUAGACACUUAGCUUCUUAAAUGGACAAAUUGUGUCUAACAAUAUGAGAUUGAGCAAUAACAGGUCUGUGAUGCCCUUAGAUGUUCUGGGCUGCACGCGCGCUACACUGAUGCGCUCAACGAGUUUAUGACCUUGCCCGGCAGGGUUGGGUAAUCUUCUUAAAACGCAUCGUGAUGGGGAUAGAUUAUUGCAAUUAUUAAACUUGAACGAGGAAUUCCUAGUAAACCCAGAUCAUCAAUCUGCAUUGAUUACGUCCCUCCCCUUUGUACACACCGCCCGUCGCUCCUACCGAUU
RNAcentral lists this ribosomal RNA (311 nucleotides) under Asterionellopsis glacialis. RNAcentral's name for it is "partial Eukaryotic small subunit ribosomal RNA". It matches the Rfam family "Eukaryotic small subunit ribosomal RNA", at positions 1378 to 1690 of the family's 1831-position model. Lineage: Eukaryota; Bacillariophyta; Plagiogrammaphyceae; Rhaphoneidales; Asterionellopsidaceae. The record is from RNAcentral.